RNAcentral lists this ribosomal RNA (256 nucleotides) under uncultured bacterium. RNAcentral's name for it is "partial 16S ribosomal RNA". It matches the Rfam family "Bacterial small subunit ribosomal RNA", at positions 96 to 353 of the family's 1533-position model. The record is from RNAcentral.
UGGCGGACGGGUGAGUAAUGUCUGGGAAACUGCCUGAUGGAGGGGGAUAACUACUGGAAACGGUAGCUAAUACCGCAUAAUGUCGCAAGACCAAANAGGGGGACCUUCGGGCCUCUUGCCAUCGGAUGUGCCCAGAUGGGAUUAGCUUGUUGGUGGGGUAACGGCUCACCAAGGCGACGAUCCCUAGCUGGUCUGAGAGGAUGACCAGCCACACUGGAACUGAGACACGGUCCAAACUCCUACGGGAGGCAGCAUG